UUGCACUAAGAAUAUCAUAUCAAAACGAGUGUAUUAAUUAUUGCUCUUAAAUUACCGACCUAUGUAGAGGAAUGAUAUAUUUCAACGGAGGAGUAAUUGUACGAUAUAAAUAGUAUCCUUUGAUGGCUGACCUCAAUUUUGACAACGGACGAUGAACUGUUUGUACAGUCAUAGAUUGGUUUAUACAUCUAUGGUACAGUGUAAGCUGUGUGAGUGGAUCAUUUUGUUGAAUGAUAAUCGGUCCAAUUAAUACCAGUCAGAAAGCACCAUAGUGACACAAAAUGGUCCAGAAAUACAACGAUCAGCGGAACAAAGAUUUGGAUCAAGGUUGGGCUUGGGUAAUAAUGAUUGCUGCAACGGGAACCAUUAUGAUUAAUUCAAUACUCCUUCAUUGCACCGGAGUCCUGCAUGUUGCUCUCCUGGAGAAAUUUGAAGAGGACAAUGCUUACACAUCAUUGAUUGGAUCAAUAUACAGCUGUCUUUUCUCAU
Mytilus californianus (California mussel) is the source of this 489-nucleotide long non-coding RNA. RefSeq lists it as uncharacterized. The record is from RefSeq and is a predicted model, not a curated record. The transcript is spliced from 3 exons. NCBI's taxonomy places the organism in Eukaryota, Metazoa, Mollusca, Bivalvia, Mytilida, Mytilidae.